This is a non-coding RNA of Danio rerio (zebrafish), 73 nucleotides long. The record is from Rfam. NCBI's taxonomy places the organism in Eukaryota, Metazoa, Chordata, Actinopteri, Cypriniformes, Danionidae.
GCCUCGUUGGCGCCGUAGGCAGCGCGUCAGUCUCAUAAUCUGCAGGUUGUGAGAUUGAGCCUCACUCGGGGCA